Molecule: long non-coding RNA, 365 nt
Filed under: Junco hyemalis (dark-eyed junco)
Lineage: Eukaryota; Metazoa; Chordata; Aves; Passeriformes; Passerellidae
Description: lncRNA (ENSJHYG00000015098.1)
Source: RNAcentral
CACAACCCCCACACACACUGCAGGGCUGCAUUUGCUGCUCCCCAGGGCAGCCUGGAGCCAGCAGCUUCAAAGGAGCACAUCAAAGCUCCGUGCACAGCACAGAGCAGCCCGGGAAGCAGGGUGGCAUCUCUCCUCUCCCUGGCGAAUGUGGAACCUCAGGGGGCUUCCCAAAGGACACGUAUGUCCCUAUGUCUUGCCUUGAACUUUUCCUGUCUUAUGAGACAGACUGCAGCUGCGCACCCAAAGGCUGUGACAAGGAAUUUCGACACAAGAUUUGUCUCCAGUAAAGAUGUUCAGAACAGGAGGGCUCCUCCAGGAAUUCACUCUACCAACCUCAAGAAAACCUCAAAGAAGCUGGGCAGAGG